UUAAAGAAAAUAAGAAUAAAUAUUAUAUAGAUGUAACACAAAGGCCAUUAAACCAUAGACUUAAAGAACAUAUGAAAGAUAUCAGGUUAGGAAACUUUAGCAUGAUCUUCUCGAGAUAUGUCUAUGAAGAUAAUAUAACAAUCCUAUGGAAAGAUGCAAAAGUAAUCAGGCAGGUAGACACUAAUGAAGAAAGGUUCAUAGCAGAAACUUUAUUAAUAAUUAAUCUGCAACCUAAAGAGGAUGUUAUCAAUAACAGAAUUUUGGAGCAACCAUCAGCUGCUUGAAUAUUCUUCCCCCAUAAAUCUUUGUCCUCCUCCUUUUAAAU
This 325-nucleotide long non-coding RNA is filed under the name Androctonus crassicauda. The record is from RNAcentral. Lineage: Eukaryota; Metazoa; Arthropoda; Arachnida; Scorpiones; Buthidae.